UCCCGUGUGGCUCAGUUGGUAGAGCAUGGUGUUUGCAACGCCAGGAUUGUGGGUUCGAUUCCCACAGGGGAC
This is a non-coding RNA of Salmo salar (Atlantic salmon), 72 nucleotides long. NCBI's taxonomy places the organism in Eukaryota, Metazoa, Chordata, Actinopteri, Salmoniformes, Salmonidae. The record is from Rfam.